Small nucleolar RNA from Hyla sarda, 132 nucleotides. RefSeq annotates it as small nucleolar RNA SNORA51. The record is from RefSeq and is a predicted model, not a curated record. Lineage: Eukaryota; Metazoa; Chordata; Amphibia; Anura; Hylidae. The transcript has a single exon.
GUCCUCCCAAUGCUUACCGCAGACAGUGCUCCACCGCCCACUGUCUGUACAGAAAGAGGAGGUAAAGCAUCUUCUCCGCCUACACCACAGGCCGCUGUGUGCUGGUCCUGUAUUGUUAUCGGGGGGACAUGU